This is a non-coding RNA of Momordica charantia (bitter melon), 1536 nucleotides long. The record is from RefSeq and is a predicted model, not a curated record. NCBI's taxonomy places the organism in Eukaryota, Viridiplantae, Streptophyta, Magnoliopsida, Cucurbitales, Cucurbitaceae.
GGGCCACAGAAAAGCUUGAUUCCAGGAUACGAGCACGUAAGCUUUCUCCCGCAAGGAAUCCAUGAAAUUGUGGAGCCUUCGUCGAACAGUCGCGUCGGCAAAACUUCGAUCACCGCAUCGGCGUAUUGCUUCUGUGGAUCUGGCGCCGGCAACAAUGAAAGAAUCAAUCGCAUUCAGAUUCUGAGGAAAGAUUUAGAACACAAAGAUUAGAGGAGGCUAAAUAUGGGAUCAAAAAACAGAAAACAGUCUGAAAAGUAAGGGGAAAUCUGGGAUGCUGGUGAAGGCUAAUCUAUCAGCUCACUUAGAAAUUUCUUCAAGUACCCCUGAUUUCUUGGUAAAAUCUUGACAGUGGACGGUGGUAAAAUUGUAAUUUCCUAGUUAUUUUUUCCUUUGAAGAGUUGAAAUGUAUGCUUUCUUAUGAAAGAUAGAGUUCUUGAUGAGGUGAUGGGAAACAGUAAUGGGAGAAACUUAUGUGGUGGAUCUCUUUCAGUUUGGAUAUUUGGGAUGCCACGUGGAAAUAAAUGGUUGGACAGUUAUAGAUGAGGAGUGAGAGGUGUGGAAUUGAGAAGAGGUGAAAACUCUGAAAUCCAAUUAAUUGGAUCCUAGGGUCUUCAAAAUUGUACACUUUCUCAAUGCUCUGCAUAUUUUGAACCAUAAAUUCAAUAAAAAAGCGAAUGAAAAUAUUCAUAUAAAUAUAUUCGUGAUUAGAUUGUUAUUUAAUUUUAAGAAAAAUUUUACAUCUUAAUUUGAUUAAUCGUAACUUCGCCAAUAGUAGAAUGGUGAAUGGAGUAGCAUAUGCCAAAGAUACCACUUGAUAUUAGCAAACCGAGAGCAUUUUCUCAAGGAAAACUUUCUCAUUAUUAUUUUCUUUUCUGAGGUCAUUUAGAAUAAAAUUUUGAUUUUCGACACAAAUUUUGACACCCAAAGAACCUGCCUUUUCAAAAUUUCCUUUUUCAGAAUUUUCGUCAAUUUGAAUAUAACACAAAAUUUUCAGAAUUUUUUUCAAUUUGAGCAUUUAACACAACUAAACAAAGAACGUAAUCAUGCUACCUAUCUUCUCUCCCCCUUAUAGAUAGAAGGAACAGGAUUUAGUUUCAUUUUCAAGAUUCAAGCCUCAAAACUCAAAAAAGACUGAUUCUAUAUACCAUUAAACACUCAUUAAACACUAAUUUGUAUUUCGAUCUAGGUGCAAUAGUUGUUGCAAGUCAAACAAAUUUUAAAUCUCUAAGCACUCUAGUUAGCAUCUUCUUUAUCCAUACGACAACACAAAAAGAUCUCUUUUUUUGCAUCUCUCUUCUACUUGUCGAAAAGUUAAUGGUGAUCAAAGAAAUAACACUCAAAUAUUUUUCAGAAAAAAAAAAAAGGAAAAACGACUAAGAGAAUGUUAAUAAUUGGGGUGGGGGAGGGGACAAAAAUAUGCAUGAGACAGAAGAGAGAGUUUAGGAAGGGAGAAAAUGGUACACCCCAACUCCACUGCACCUCACCGCACCAGAUAGAUGCUUCUAAGUUCUAAGCUAUAUAUCUGUAGCUCAAAAA